RNAcentral lists this ribosomal RNA (763 nucleotides) under Hahella sp. BGMRC02016. RNAcentral describes it as "bacterial SSU rRNA". It matches the Rfam family "Bacterial small subunit ribosomal RNA", at positions 46 to 809 of the family's 1533-position model. Lineage: Bacteria; Pseudomonadati; Pseudomonadota; Gammaproteobacteria; Oceanospirillales; Hahellaceae. The record is from RNAcentral.
GCUUACACAUGCAAGUCGAGCGGUAACAGUCCUUCGGGAGCUGACGAGCGGCGGACGGGUGAGUAAUGCAUAGGAAUCUGCCUGUUAGAGGGGGAUAGCCCGGGGAAACUCGGAUUAAUACCGCAUACGCCCUACGGGGGAAAGCAGGGGAUCUUCGGACCUUGCGCUAACAGAUGAGCCUAUGUCGGAUUAGCUAGUUGGUAGGGUAAGAGCCUACCAAGGCGACGAUCCGUAACUGGUCUGAGAGGAUGAUCAGUCACACUGGAACUGAGACACGGUCCAGACUCCUACGGGAGGCAGCAGUGGGGAAUAUUGGACAAUGGGGGAAACCCUGAUCCAGCCAUGCCGCGUGUGUGAAGAAGGCCUUCGGGUUGUAAAGCACUUUCAGUGGGGAGGAAAGGGCAGUUGCUAAUAUCAGCUGCAGUUGACGUUACCCACAGAAGAAGCACCGGCAAACUCCGUGCCAGCAGCCGCGGUAAUACGGAGGGUGCGAGCGUUAAUCGGAAUUACUGGGCGUAAAGCGCGCGUAGGCGGUUGCUUAAGCUAGAUGUGAAAUCCCCGGGCUUAACCUGGGAACUGCAUUUAGAACUGGGCGACUAGAGUUUUGGAGAGGAGGGUAGAAUUCCAGGUGUAGCGGUGAAAUGCGUAGAGAUCUGGAGGAAUACCAGUGGCGAAGGCGGCCCUCUGGCCAAAAACUGACGCUGAGUGCGAAAGCGUGGGGAGCAAACAGGAUUAGAUACCCUGGUAGUCCACGCCGUAACGA